ACCGAUGGCAACUUUCAAAUAAUUGGAUGUUAGAAAUGGAACUCUCAAAAGAUUUCCUCCUCCCCACAAAUGUACCCUUUGCCUAGGAUGGGAGGCUGUCACCUGGAGUAGCAACCCAAGGCCCUCGACCGCAGGGGUCCUGGCAAGCCUUGCCUUUGUGCAUCUGCUCUGGGAGCCAGAGAAGUUGAAAGCGGCCUCACUCGAGAUUUUUGAAGAGGUUGAAUUUCCCGACAGUCCUGGAUAAAAGAAACGGCAGGAAGUCUGACUGUCAGGGGGAGCCCCUUCUGGGUCUGUAUUUAUAUAUCCCUAGGAAUCCUCUCCUGCGGGCUCUUAAAUGGCAAAGCACCCCUGAGUCCUGCAAUUACUGCCUUCCCACCCCCAAGCUGAAAAACCUGAUUUUCUUCAGGAGAAGAGAAACCUCAUCCCGGGAGCGGAAUUUGUGAAGAAAAUGUGAGUGGGAAACAUGAAGAGUGAUGAAAUGAACAAGUUGAGUGACUCCCACCCUGUUGAAGAGAUUGAACUUCAUCCCCAGUUCCUGUGAAGCUUUCUGGCUCUCAUCUUCCAAGGUGAAGUGGAGGUUCUGGAUCCGAACGACCCUUUAGGACCCCUUGAUGGGCAGGACGGCCCGAUUCCAACUCUGAAAGGUUACUUUCUGAAUUUUCUGGAGCCAGUAAACAAUAUCACCAUUGUCCAAGGCCAGACGGCAAUUCUGCACUGCAAGGUGGCAGGAAACCCACCCCCUAACGUGCGGUGGCUAAAGAAUGAUGCCCCGGUGGUGCAGGAGCCGCGGCGGAUCAUCAUCCGGAAGACAGAAUAUGGUUCACGACUGCGAAUCCAGGACCUGGACACGACAGACACUGGCUACUACCAGUGCGUGGCCACCAAUGGGAUGAAGACCAUUACCGCCACUGGCGUUCUGUUUGUGCGGCUGGGUCCAACGCACAGCCCAAAUCAUAACUUUCAGGAUGAUUACCACGAGGAUGGGUUCUGCCAGCCUUACCGGGGAAUUGCCUGUGCACGCUUCAUUGGCAACCGGACCAUUUAUGUGGACUCGCUCCAGAUGCAGGGGGAGAUUGAAAACCGAAUCACAGCGGCCUUCACCAUGAUCGGCACCUCUACGCACCUGUCGGACCAGUGCUCACAGUUCGCCAUCCCAUCCUUCUGCCACUUCGUGUUUCCUCUGUGCGACGCGCGCUCCCGGGCACCCAAGCCGCGUGAGCUGUGCCGCGACGAGUGCGAGGUGCUGGAGAGCGACCUGUGCCGCCAGGAGUACACCAUCGCCCGCUCCAACCCGCUCAUCCUCAUGCGGCUUCAGCUGCCCAAGUGUGAGGCGCUGCCCAUGCCCGAGAGCCCCGAUGCUGCCAACUGCAUGCGCAUUGGCAUCCCAGCCGAGAGGCUGGGCCGCUACCAUCAGUGCUAUAACGGCUCAGGCAUGGAUUACAGAGGAACGGCAAGCACCACCAAGUCAGGCCACCAGUGCCAGCCGUGGGCCCUGCAGCACCCCCACAGCCACCACCUGUCCAGCACAGACUUCCCUGAGCUUGGAGGGGGGCACGCCUACUGCCGGAACCCUGGAGGCCAGAUGGAGGGCCCCUGGUGCUUUACGCAGAAUAAAAACGUACGCAUGGAACUGUGUGACGUACCCUCGUGUAGUCCCCGAGACAGCAGCAAGAUGGGGAUUCUGUACAUCUUGGUCCCCAGCAUCGCAAUUCCACUGGUCAUCGCUUGCCUUUUCUUCUUGGUUUGCAUGUGCCGGAAUAAGCAGAAGGCAUCUGCGUCCACACCGCAGCGGCGACAGCUGAUGGCCUCGCCCAGCCAAGACAUGGAAAUGCCCCUCAUUAACCAGCACAAACAGGCCAAACUCAAAGAGAUCAGCCUGUCUGCGGUGAGGUUCAUGGAGGAGCUGGGAGAGGACCGGUUUGGGAAAGUCUACAAAGGCCACCUGUUCGGCCCUGCCCCGGGGGAGCAGACCCAGGCUGUGGCCAUCAAAACGCUGAAGGACAAAGCAGAGGGGCCCCUGCGGGAGGAGUUCCGGCACGAGGCUAUGCUGCGAGCACGGCUGCAACACCCCAACAUCGUCUGCCUGCUGGGCAUGGUGACCAAGGACCAGCCCCUGAGCAUGAUUUUCAGCUACUGUUCACACGGCGACCUCCACGAAUUCCUGGUCAUGCGCUCGCCGCAUUCGGACGUGGGCAGCACCGACGAUGACCGCACGGUGAAGUCCGCCCUGGAGCCCCCCGACUUCGUGCACCUCGUGGCACAGAUCGCGGCGGGGAUGGAGUAUCUAUCCAGCCACCACGUGGUUCACAAGGAUCUGGCCACCCGCAACGUGCUAGUGUACGACAAGCUGAACGUGAAGAUCUCAGACUUGGGCCUCUUCCGAGAGGUGUAUGCCGCCGAUUACUACAAGCUGCUGGGGAACUCGCUGCUGCCCAUCCGCUGGAUGGCCCCGGAGGCCAUCAUGUACGGCAAGUUCUCCAUUGACUCGGACAUCUGGUCCUACGGUGUGGUCCUGUGGGAGGUCUUUAGCUAUGGCCUGCAGCCCUACUGCGGGUACUCCAACCAGGACGUGGUGGAGAUGAUCCGGAACCGGCAGGUGCUGCCUUGCCCCGAUGACUGUCCUGCCUGGGUGUACGCCCUCAUGAUCGAGUGCUGGAACGAGUUCCCCAGCCGGCGGCCCCGCUUCAAGGACAUCCACAGCCGGCUCCGAGCCUGGGGCAACCUUUCCAACUACAACAGCUCGGCGCAGACCUCGGGGGCCAGCAACACCACGCAGACCAGCUCCCUGAGCACCAGCCCAGUGAGCAAUGUGAGCAACGCCCGCUACGUGGGGCCCAAGCAGAAGGCCCCGCCCUUCCCACAGCCCCAGUUCAUCCCCAUGAAGGGCCAGAUCAGACCCCUGGUGCCCCCGCCGCAGCUCUACAUCCCCGUCAACGGCUACCAGCCGGUGCCGGCCUAUGGGGCCUACCUGCCCAACUUCUACCCUGUGCAGAUCCCAAUGCAGAUGGCCCCACAGCAGGUGCCUCCUCAGAUGGUCCCCAAGCCCAGCUCACACCACAGUGGCAGUGGCUCCACCAGCACAGGCUAUGUCACCACGGCCCCUUCCAACACAUCCGUGGCAGACAGGGCAGCCCUGCUCUCAGAGGGCACCGAUGACACACACAACGCCCCAGAAGACGGGGCCCAGAGCCCCGUGCAGGAAGCAGAGGAGGAGGAGGAAGGCUCUGUCCCAGAGACUGAGCUGCUGGGGGACUGUGACACUCUGCAGGUGGACGAGGCCCAAGUCCAGCUGGAAGCUUGAGUGGCACCAGGGCCCGGGGUUCGGGGAUGGAAGCCCUGCCGAGACCCCACAGGUACCUCAGUCGCCUUUGAGAAGACACCAUACCCAGCAAUCACAAGAGCCCGCCGGCCAGUGGGCUUGUUUGCAGACUGGGUGAGGUGGAGCCCUGCUCCUCUCUGUCCUCUGACACAGAGAGCUGCCCUGCCUAGGAGCACCCGAGCCAGGCAGGGGGCCUGGCAGCACGGCAUCCUGGGGAGCAGGACACAUGGUCAUCCCCUGGGCUAUCUACAUUGAUUCUGGUGGUAGACUAGUAGUGAGCAGCAAAUGCCUUUCAAGAAAAUAGGUGGCAGCUUCACUCCGUGUCAUACAUGGAGUGAAUAUUUUAAAACGUUGGGAAUAAGGGCCUGCAAAAGGCAGCAAGGAGGCACCUAAGGUCUUGAGGUUCCUGACAGCCGAUCUGGUCUGUUGGUUUGAGGAUGAAGGGGCUCCAUUUCUGCUGCCUCCCUGCCGAGAAUAUUCUCCCUUUAGCAGCCAAAGAUUUGCUGGAACGGAGGCUGCCCUCUGCUGCCUGUUGGGGUUGGAAGACAAGGGGCUCCUGAAAUGGGAGUUCCUGAGAUAAAACAAAAUGUGUGCCUUCAAAGAAACUGACAGCUUUGUAUUUGGUGAAAUGGUUUUAAUUAUACUGCAUGUGUAUUUUGCCCACUUUUUGGAAAUUCAAGGGAAAGUGUUUCUUGGGUUUGGAAUGUUCAGAGGAAGCAAUAUUGUACAGAACACGGUAUUGUUAUUUUUGUUAAGAAUCAUGUACAGACCUUAAAUGUAAUUUAUAUGUUUUUAAUAUGCCAUUUCCAUUGAAGUAUUUUGGUCUUAAGAUAAUGACUUUAGUAAUUUAACUGUUUAUGUUACCCACGUUGGGAUCCAGUUGGUCUUGGUUUGCUUGUCUCUGUACCACCUGCACAUGAGGUCCAUUCAUUUUAGAGCCCCUGUUACACACAGACCCACAGGCAGCCGUCUGUGCCCCGCACGCAUUGUUGGUCCUAUUUGUAAAUCCCACACCCGGUGUAUCCAAUAAAGUGAAACAAAGC
Molecule: small RNA, 4362 nt
Filed under: Pongo abelii (Sumatran orangutan)
Lineage: Eukaryota; Metazoa; Chordata; Mammalia; Primates; Hominidae
Description: processed transcript
Source: RNAcentral